GCAGGCUGCUGUCAGCAGUGCAGGAAGCUACUCUUAAGGGGAAACUAAAGUGGCAUUUUCUGAGUUCCCAUUGUGGCUCAGUGAUAGCAAACCCAACUAGUUAGUAUCCAUGAGGAUGCAGGUUCGAUCUCUGGCCUCCCUUAGUGGGUUAAGGAUCUGGCAUUGCUGUGAGCUGUGG
This 178-nucleotide small RNA is filed under the name Sus scrofa (pig). Its description in RNAcentral is "Pvt1 onco conserved region 2 (ENSSSCG00070004626.1)". The record is from RNAcentral. Lineage: Eukaryota; Metazoa; Chordata; Mammalia; Artiodactyla; Suidae.